GAUGAACGCUGGCGGCGUGCUUAACACAUGCAAGUCGAACGAGAAGUGGAGACGGAAACCUUCGGGCGGAAGACUUUGUUUCGAGUGGCGGACGGGUGAGUAACGCGUGGGUAACCUGCCUCAUACAGGGGGAUAACAGUUGGAAACGACUGUUAAUACCGCAUAAGACCACAGCACCGCAUGGUGCGGGGGUAAAAACUCCGGUGGUAUGAGAUGGACCCGCGUUCGAUUAGCCAGUUGGCGGGGUAACGGCCCACCAAAGCGACGAUCGAUAGCCGAUCUGAGAGGAUGACCGGCCACAUUGGGACUGAGACACGGCCCAAACUCCUACGGGAGGCAGCAGUGGGGAAUAUUGCACAAUGGGGGAAACCCUGAUGCAGCGACGCCGCGUGAGUGAAGAAGUAUUUCGGUAUGUAAAGCUCUAUCAGCAGGGAAGAAAAUGACGGUACCUGAGUAAGAAGCCCCGGCUAACUACGUG
Molecule: ribosomal RNA, 478 nt
Filed under: uncultured bacterium
Lineage: Bacteria
Description: partial 16S ribosomal RNA
Rfam family: Bacterial small subunit ribosomal RNA
Source: RNAcentral